Molecule: long non-coding RNA, 1681 nt
Organism: Triticum dicoccoides
Lineage: Eukaryota; Viridiplantae; Streptophyta; Magnoliopsida; Poales; Poaceae
Exons: 2
Source: RefSeq, a predicted model, not a curated record
CCAUCACCCCCCCGGCCUCUCUUCCACCACACUCCACCCCUUUCUCCUCGCGCCCCAUCCACAGCCUGUGGCCACCACCUCCUACCGCGCCGCCGGGCCGGCCACCUCCCACCACGCCACCGGACCAGCCACCUCCCACCGCGCGGCCGGCCACCCCCACCGUGCAGCCGACCACCACCUCCCACCGCGCCGUCGGGCCACCACCUCCAAUCACCGGCCACCGCCACCCCUGCCCACCGCAACCACCUCCCGGCGGCGGAUCCUGGCUGGUAACCGCCCCAGUGCGCCUCCCGGUGGUGGAUCUAGGCCCUGCGCCUCCAUCGCCCACCGCAUCCGGCCACCACCAGCCCCAAGGCAGCCUCAACCACCCGAUAUGGCCCCUAGUGCAUCUUCAACCGCCGGAUCUGGCCUCCACCAGCCCACGGUGUGGCUUUCAACAACUGAUCCGGCUGUUGACUCCCCGUGACCUCGUCUCCCUCGUCGCGGCCCUACCUUCGCCUCCCUCCUCCGACCCCAGGCCGGAUCCGUCGCCAAUCCGCGUUUCCCGUCGACCAGUUCCUUGCCCACCGCCACCUCGACCUACUGCCUGGACGGGUCGUUGCAGGCACUGCCUACGGCCCGACGUCGCGUGCAUCCAGGGAUGGGGUCGAUUACAGCUCGGCUGGCCCUCCAUUGCAGUUCGGCUGGGUGCCCAGUGAUGAUUUUUUGUGUCUAUCAACAUCAAACGAUCCCCCGAGCUGGAGUUGAAGGUCAUCGGCGGCAACGACGCCCCGUGCAAUUCAGAAAAUCUUGCAUGCAUCUAUGGAGUUCAAACAACGCACAAGCAUGCGAGUGUGGUUCCAAAGGAAUAGUCCACAUCGCUGACGACAGCACCACCACGACGUCAUGCGAUACGGUAGGUUGUGCCCUGCAGUUCGUCAAUCGUGUCAUGGGUUCACACGUGCGUCGGUGCUGCUCGGAGAUGCACGCCAUGCGGCUCGGUGUUUCGAGCACGCGAGCGCGUCUGACACAACUUGCCGACGACGACUACGCAUGAUUCUCAGGUCAUGGUCCAAUGCGAUGUUUUGCCGUUCGCCGGUACUCACUUCAGGUCAUGGUCCAGGUCGCCGCUCGACGCAGUCCACCAGCCACGAGAGGCCAACAAGGGUUGUGAAGCAGUUCUUUAGGCGCGCGCGUGCAGCCCAGGAAAUCCAGGAAUCCUGAUUGCUUUCAGUUCACUCAGUAAAAAAGAAAAAGUGGCGUGUGCAGCUCACUUUUAUCAAUUUUUGGUUUGUUGUAAGCGACCCCGAUUCGUUCCAUGUGUCUUCUUUGCAGAUCACUUCUUUGCUUUUUUUGCAGGCGACCCCGAUUCAUUCGAUGCUAGCUGCCUGGUCGGAGCUCCUCCACCGUUCACCUCCUCCUCUGCAUCCCAUGCAGUUCGCUCCGGUGGUUAACGAUGAUGCAUUGGCAGGGGGCGGAUGCAGUAUGGUAGGGCAGCGCAUGUAGUGCGGUAGCGCCGCACAUGCAGUGCGGUGCUCACGGCCGUGCGUGGCCGCUACGGUUGGCCGCGCGAGCCACUCCCUGGGACUUGAUUGCUUUCUUUCUUUUUUGGUCGAGGGAAGUUCCACAAAAUUUAGUUUGCGGCAGCAUGGUUCGGCUGUAACCCCCCAAGACCGAUGCUUCAGAAGUCUUCCAGCUAUCU